GACGUAGGGCGCGAGCGUUGUCCGGAUUUAUUGGGCGUAAAGAGCUCGUAGGCGGCUUGUCGCGUCGUUCGUGAAAACCUGCAGCUCAACUGCAGGCUUGCGGUCGAUACGGGCAGGCUAGAGUUCGGUAGGGGAGACUGGAAUUCCGGGUGUAGCGGUGGAAUGCGUAGAGAUCCGGAAGAACACCGGUGGCGAAGGCGGUCUGCUGGGCAGUUGCUGACACUGAGGCGCGACAGCGUGGGGAGCAAACAGG
Molecule: ribosomal RNA, 253 nt
Filed under: uncultured bacterium
Lineage: Bacteria
Description: partial 16S ribosomal RNA
Rfam family: Bacterial small subunit ribosomal RNA
Source: RNAcentral